UUUUAAUUUGCAAGAUAGAAUUGCAUUCAUGCAUUUCAAAAUUCAUCUAAGAUUUGGUUUCAUCUUUGCAGUACCCCGUAAAACUGGUCUCUAUGAGAUCUAACAGCAAGAUUCAUAGUUGAGAAAUAAAUUUGAAGAGACACAGAAGGGCAGAGACACUAAAAGCUGCUGGAAUGAAUACAAUUCUGAGGAAGACAACACACCUCUGAUCAGUUUUGAUUUCUUUUUCUCCUUACCCCGUUCUCUUCCUCCUUCCCCAAAUGCCUUUCCUCAUCCCUAACAUGUCCAAACCCCCAUUUCCUAUCAUCUUUCCUUGAUUUUGCCUGUGUGUUUGUCAUAAGUUACUUUUAUCACUUUAAGGUAAGGUCUUUAUAUACAUAUUUAUUUUGUCAGCUUUUUAAAAAUCCCAAAUAGGUGUUGGAUUUUCUCAAAAGUUUUUUCCCCCACAUCUAUUGAGGUGAUCAUGUGAUUUUCAACCUUACAUUAAUUUAUGUAAUGUAUUGUAUUUAUCUUUUUAUGUAUAUUGUACCAUUCUUGCAUACUUGGGAUGAGGCCGACUUGGUCAGGAUGUUUGACCUUUUGAAUGAUUUGUUGUAGCCUGUCGAGGAUUUGUGUAUCCAGGUCCAUUAAAGACAUUGACCUGUCGUUUUCUUUUUUUGUUGAGUCCUUUUCUGAUUUUGGUGUGAGGGUAAUUUGGCUUUGACGAAUGAGUUUGGCAGUAUUCCUUCCCUUUCAAUUUCAUGGCAGAGUUUGAGAAAUAUUAGGUUAAUUUAUUCUUUGAAUUUCUGGUAAAAUUCAAUAGUGAAACAUUUGGGUCCUGGGGUUUUCUUGGUAAAGUUUAUAUGGCUGCCUCAAUUUAAUUGCCAUUUUUUUUUCUCAAGAUUCAUGCAUUUUUGUGUUGACUGUUGUAGAUCAGUUGGUUUAGAAAGCCCUGUCACUACAGUAGAGAUAUUUUUAUCAAAUGAACUUCUUGUUAUGUGCUUUGGGUGUGAUUCACUUCACAUCUGUUGAACUUUUUCAAAUUACAAGGAUUGGUUCCUGGCACUGAAUUGCAAGGAGAGAACAACCACUGGUAAUAUCAAUAACCAAAGAACAAAUCAUUUAUUAUUAUUCAAUUCAAAGCUUGUUUGGCAAGUUUUCUACUCUUUCAAUAAUCCAGGAAUACAAAGGAUAAGUAAUGGUAGAAAAAGUGCUGGAAGGUAAAAAAAAGAUAAAAGAAAAAAAAAGAAUUUAGAAAUAAAUGACAGAAGAAAAAUGGACAAAACAG
RNAcentral lists this long non-coding RNA (1267 nucleotides) under Heterocephalus glaber (naked mole-rat). RNAcentral describes it as "lncRNA (ENSHGLG00000046224.1)". The record is from RNAcentral. Lineage: Eukaryota; Metazoa; Chordata; Mammalia; Rodentia; Bathyergidae.